Molecule: ribosomal RNA, 440 nt
Filed under: uncultured bacterium
Lineage: Bacteria
Description: partial 16S ribosomal RNA
Rfam family: Bacterial small subunit ribosomal RNA
Source: RNAcentral
CCUACGGGAGGCAGCAGUGGGGGAUAUUGCACAAUGGGGGAAACCCUGAUGCAGCGACGCCGCGUGAGUGAAGAAGUAUUUCGGUAUGUAAAGCUCUAUCAGCAGGGAAGAAAAUGACAGUACCUGACCAAGAAGCCCCGGCUAACUACGUGCCAGCAGCCGCGGUAAUACGUAGGGGAGAAGCGUUAACCGGAUUUAAUUGGUGUAAAGGGAGCGUAGACGGUUAUGUAAGUCUGGAGUGAAAGACCGGGGCCCAACCCCCGGAGUGCUUUGGAAACUGUGUAACUGGAGUACAGGAGAGGUAGGCGGAAUGCGUGGUGUAGCGGUGAAAUGCGUAGAUAUCAGGAGGAACACCGGCGGCGAAGGCGGCCUGCUGGACUGAAACUGACGUUGAGGCUCGAAAGCGUGGGGAGCAAACAGGAUUAGAUACCCGGGUAGUC